RNAcentral lists this transfer RNA (76 nucleotides) under Nippostrongylus brasiliensis. It matches the Rfam family "tRNA". Rfam says of the family: Transfer RNA (tRNA) molecules are approximately 80 nucleotides in length. The record is from Rfam by way of RNAcentral. Lineage: Eukaryota; Metazoa; Nematoda; Chromadorea; Rhabditida; Heligmosomidae.
GGCUUGGUGGUGUAGUGAUGUUACUUCAUGGUGCCAUCGCUGUCACGAGACGCGGGUUCGAAUCCCGCCUGAGCCG